This is a long non-coding RNA of Cimex lectularius (bed bug), 932 nucleotides long. RefSeq lists it as uncharacterized. The record is from RefSeq and is a predicted model, not a curated record. The transcript has 3 exons. NCBI's taxonomy places the organism in Eukaryota, Metazoa, Arthropoda, Insecta, Hemiptera, Cimicidae.
UAAAGACACGUGUGUCAAUCGGAAUAAUACUGCCACCAAUUCAUGAACGUAUUUUACUCGACACGAUCAUCAAUCUGCAUGUUGGUGGCCUGAUUUUUUGUAGUAGCCGAAGAAUGCAUGACAAUGGAUUUCGACUGGAUUAAGUGUUCGUCGCUGUCGGCUCCCUUCGGCUCUAUGGAGCAAAGAAGAUUAGCGAGAAUAGACGGAUCAAGAUAAGAUCAGCUAUGAUGAAAUAGCUGCCAAGUGUUGUCAUUUGUAGAUAAUCCUACAGGACAGCACAAGUGUUACAAGAUAGAUAGUUGAAAUUUAAGCUUACUUUUAUUUUUUCGUAGGAUCGCACCGCCGCAACUAACUUUUUUUGAAGAACAACUUUUAUAUUGUAAGCCAAGAAAAAGAAGAAAAUCGACUACUGUGGACAACCUGAGGUACAAAUGAGAGGCUAGGAUUUUAAGAUAUGGACAUAGUUUUCAUAUGAAAGCAGAGAGUCAGUGAUGGAUCGAGACGUUCAAAUGACUGCAGACUGAAAAACCCGAGUGAAAGAUCAGAAAGAAACGUGAAAACACCCAGAAAGCUAGCGAUGACCUCAAUUGUUUCUCGGCCCCUAAACUUCCCACAUUAUUAUUAUUUCGUAAACUACUAUCAAAAAAUCGAUUUAAGGCUAACAAUAAAAAGAGUUGAGAAAUCAUGGAAAUGAGAUCAAAUUAGUAAGUCGUUCAGUUCAACUGAACAGUGUUGAAAGUAUAGCACACCUUGGGAGAAAUGGAAAAGCGUGUUGUUUUUAUUAUUUUUACACCGUAUGACCGACAUAAGUUUCGCGUGUUGGCCCUGCCGCUUUAAUUUUCACAACACGGCGGUUCCAUUCUAUAAUAAUCGUUUAUUCUGAAAGCGAAACCUGUUCCUUUUACAUUAUUGUAAGUACCAUUAAAAUUAAG